GAUGAACGCUGGCGGCGUGCCUAAUACAUGCAAGUCGAGCGAACAGACGAUUAGCUUUCUCCUCUGGCGUUAGCGGCGGACAACUCGGUGACACGUUGCUAACCUACCUAUAAUACUGGUAUAAAUUCGGGACACCGAAGCGAAUACCGCAUAACAUGUUUAACCGCAUGGUUCAACAUUUAAAGACGGGUUUUCUGUCACUUGUAGAUGGAUCUGCUUCGCAUUAGCUAGUUGGUAAGGUAAGGGCUUACCAAGGCGACGAUGCGUAACCGACCUGAGAGGGUAGGCGGCGACAGUGGAACUGAGACACGGUCCAGAGUCCUACGGGAGGCAGCAGUAGGGAAUCUGCAGCAAUGGGCGAAAGCCUGACGGAGCAACGCCGCGUGCGUGAAGAAGGUCUUCGGAUCGUAAAACUCUGUUAUUAGGGAAGAACAAAUGUGUAAGUAACUAUGCACGUCUUGACGGUACCUAAUCAGAAAGCCACGGCUAACUACGUG
This 497-nucleotide ribosomal RNA is filed under the name uncultured bacterium. RNAcentral's name for it is "partial 16S ribosomal RNA". It matches the Rfam family "Bacterial small subunit ribosomal RNA", at positions 28 to 507 of the family's 1533-position model. The record is from RNAcentral.